RNAcentral lists this small nuclear RNA (176 nucleotides) under Cervus hanglu yarkandensis (Yarkand deer). RNAcentral describes it as "U2 spliceosomal RNA (ENSCHYG00000007480.1)". It matches the Rfam family "U2 spliceosomal RNA". Rfam says of the family: U2 is a small nuclear RNA (snRNA) component of the spliceosome (involved in pre-mRNA splicing). The record is from Rfam by way of RNAcentral. Lineage: Eukaryota; Metazoa; Chordata; Mammalia; Artiodactyla; Cervidae.
AUCACUUCUUGGCCUUUUGGCUAAGAUGAAGUGUAACAUCUGUUCUUACCAGUUGUAUACUUAGAGCUGAUUCACCAAGACAACACUGGAAGGCAAUUUUACUCCAAUUAAAACAUGUUUAGGAAAGUCGUGGAUCAGCCUUGGGGUGCAAGAGGGGGCAGUGGGGCCCAGCCUUA